CAGGCCUAACACAUGCAAGUCGAGGGGUAACAGAGAAGCUUGCUUCUGCUGACGACCGGCGCACGGGUGCGUAACGCGUAUGCAACCUACCUCAUACUGGAGCAUAGCCCUUGGAAACGAGGAUUAAUACUCCAUGGUAUCAUUCUUUCGCAUGUUAGAAUGAUUAAAGAAUUUCGGUAUGAGAUGGGCAUGCGUCCCAUUAGCUAGUUGGUGAGGUAACGGCUCACCAAGGCAACGAUGGGUAGGGGGCCUGAGAGGGUGGUCCCCCACACUGGUACUGAGACACGGACCAGACUCCUACGGGAGGCAGCAGUGAGGAAUAUUGGUCAAUGGAGGCAACUCUGAUCCAGCCAUGCCGCGUGCAGGAAGACUGCCCUAUGGGUUGUAAACUGCUUUUAUACAGGAAGAAACACUCCCUCGUGAGGGAGCUUGACGGUACUGUACGAAUAAGGAUCGGCUAACUCCGUGCCAGCAGCCGCGGUAAUACGGAGGAUCCAAGCGUUAUCCGGAAUUAUUGGGUUUAAAGGGUCCGUAGGUGGUUUGCUAAGUCAGAGGUGAAAUCCUGCCGCUUAACGGUAGCACUGCCUUUGAUACUGGCAAACUUGAGUCAUUGUGAAGUAGUUAGAAUGUGUAGUGUAGCGGUGAAAUG
This 649-nucleotide ribosomal RNA is filed under the name uncultured bacterium. RNAcentral's name for it is "bacterial SSU rRNA". It matches the Rfam family "Bacterial small subunit ribosomal RNA", at positions 43 to 688 of the family's 1533-position model. The record is from RNAcentral.